This 240-nucleotide unclassified non-coding RNA is filed under the name soil metagenome. Its description in RNAcentral is "partial contains 5.8S ribosomal RNA, internal transcribed spacer 2, and large subunit ribosomal RNA". The record is from RNAcentral.
AACCAUAGAAACCUGCGGAGUACCUGCGGAAGGAUCAUUAUAGUAUAUGGAAUCUCCAUUCUAUAAACCCACUCUGCGUAUCUUGUAACUGUUGCUUCCAUGGGACUUGGUCCCGCCACACCGGCUUCACGGCUGGUGAGCGCCCAUGGAAGGAGAAACAAAACUCUUCUUUGAAAUGUAGUCAGUCUGAACAAGUUUUUAUAAACGUUAAAACUUUUAGCAAUGGAUCUCAGAUCGGAA